CAAACAUUUGAACUAUAUGUAUAUUUCUUUCUUCGUUAUUUCUUUUGUAACAGAAAGUUAUGCAAAUCUAAGAAACGGUAAGAGAUGAAAUAUGUGUUCGUACUGUGAAGCUUAGAAUUUUUUGAUCAUCGGAACUACGGUUUAUAUGACCAUGGUCAGAAUACGUAUGCAAUCGUGAAUCGUUCAAAAUCGUACAAUUGAAUUGUGUUUUUUUAUUAGUGUCUUCAUAAAAAAAAUAUACAGUGAACAAUUACAGGUGCAAGAAAGCGUAGUUUAUUUUUGUGGAUUGUUAAUCCUUGCAGUUUAGGUAGACACGUUGCUUCGGUUCCUUAGUUUUAGUGAUUAAUAUUUAGUUUCUUCUUGUUUCUUACAAUCGAUUGCUAUAACCUUAAAAAAGACAGCAGUAACAAUGUAUAGACACGGUACUUACGAUAGAUGUAAAUUUGUCCAUUGUAACAAUGGAAAGCACAAUGGACACCGUUUGUUUCGAUUUCCAUCUAAACCAGAAAGACAGAAAAAAUGGAUAGAAAAUACAGUUUUCGAUGUGUAGAAUACGAAAGUGCAAGUUUCAAGACGAGGAAUCUACUGCUUCAAAAGUUCUGACUGUUUCAAAAGUAAAAACCGAGCAACAUUUUAAAGCACUUUACAUGUUAUUUUGACGUCAUAUUGUUUUUUUUUUAUACAUGAUUCGUCCGACGAGUGGAGUCGUUAAUUGUAAAUAAAUGCACGUGAAUGGCGACUAUUUUGUGACGGGAUAUUGAAUCGUGAGUAUUGAAUUCGCUUAAAUUAGGUUCGGCCCAAUCUUCACUCUCCGGCCACCGUUUACUGUUUACGCUAGUACAAACCAACUUUCGAUGAAAUUCAUUUCGAUGCUCAUCUACGCAGACAGGAGGAAAUUGGCGUUAAGAUUCUACACGCUGAAAACUACAAGAUUGCAAAAAAGUCAAUAACUUUUUUAGUUCCUAAAUUAAGGUUUAACCAAUGUGGUUCGAUGAUUCAACAAAGUGCAAAUCAUUUGUAAUUUGACAAUUCCAAUCUUUUUGUUCGGCGGAUCAUAGCUUCUGCUGCUCGGUUUCUAUUAAGGAAAUAGUUGGCUUCGGUUCUUGUCAACCUCCACGAUCAGGACUGCAGGACUUUGCGAUCUUCAUUUCCGAGAGGAAGAUUUUUGCGAUGGAACGAAAAAGCGUUUGCUUCGGAAUCGUGAUCCGAUCCAUUGGAAGGAAAUAUCGACGCCCCAUGGGCAGACACAGGCGAUUGUUGAAUCGCAAGAAUCAGGGAAUUCCACACAAGUAGCAGUACAAGUGCAGAAGCUUCAAGAACAAGUACCAAGUAUAAUAGAAAUCUGUGAUAAAAAUCUUCAAGAAAAUGUUAAUUGUGAUAAAAAUCUUCAAGAAAAUGUUAACUGUGAUAAAAAUCUUCAACAAAGUAUUAACUGUGAUAAAAAUCUUCAAGAAAAUGUUUACUUUAGUAACCUUGACGAUUUUAAUAUUAGAAACCAGUCAAACCCUAAUUUAUAUCCUUCGGGGAAAGAACUGUUCCUUAACACUGCUUCGGAUGAUACCGAUUUGUCAUUUUUAAAUUACGAAUUAGGUGCACAGGCUCCUAUACCUUGCGAAAAUGUGACAGUUGUUUCACUUGUAUCAAAAAAAGAUUUUCAAUGCUCCAAAGAAUGUAAAAUAGUGGUUGAUUCCUUAAAAAAAAAGAUAAAUCUUUUACAGAUAAAGGUAAAGCGAUUGGAAAAGAGAGCAAAAUGUGUACAAAGUAAAUAUUCAUAUGUACGCAAGCAAUUAGAAAAGCAACUAAGCCAAAAAAUCCGCAAUAUUGAUGACUUUUUAGUAACGAAUAAACUAGCUAAAGAUGUAGGUCCGACGGCGAAGACUGUAAUUAAACUACAGUUGCGUACAAAAAAGACUCAAUAUACAGAAGACGAGAAAGAGUUAGCGAAGCAAAUUUAUUUUCAGUCACCAACUAACUAUACUAAAUUGCGAAAUGUGGGUUUGAUUUUACCUUCAGAAUCCAUAGUUCGAACAUGGUUCUCUAAGUAUGAUGGUUCCGGGAAUGAAUGAAAUGAUCUUUUGAAAAAUUUCUGAUUAUGUAAUUGAGAAGUUUGAUAAAAAAAAAGAGGGGGGGCAUGCAUGCCAAAAUCCCAUUUUAAGAAAAUUGAUUUUAAAGUUUUCAUUAUGGUAUUACUUAGUGAAAAGUAAUUGAAUCCAAUUUUUUAAAGGUGUAUUAAUAUAUUCUUAAAACGUUCUGGAAACAGAAAUAAUGAUUAAAAGAUGUUAUGCAUUUUUAUUUAUAAGCUUUAAAAAAUUGAUUUAUGUGCCUUUUUUUAUAAAUAGAGUAAAAUUACUUUUUUGUUUAUUUGUUUAAGUAUAAUUUUAUUUACUUAUUCAGUUACAAAUUUUUUUAUACAGAACUUAUAUAAAAAAUACAAGCUUAAGACCAAAAUUAAACAAAAAAUUAAAUUUCUUAAGUAAAUAUUUUUAUACAAGUUGCAUGUGUAACUGUAGUUCACGCUUUUAUUUUCUAAUGUCACCAUAUCUAGCUCCAAUAAGUUCUAUACAUUUAUACUCAUUAUCUUUUUUUCAAAAUUUUUACACUUCCUCCUCGUUAGUUGACAUGAAUUCAUCUUUAUCAGGUUCGCUCGGUACGAUCUUCGCUACUUGAAGAACGUUUUCAAUUCGUAUUCUACUGUCCUCAUCCAGAUAUUGGCAUAAACUUCUUGCGUCCACUCCGCGAUCAAUUCUCGUAGAGCUGGUUCAAUCGUUAAAAGCUCUAAAUAAUUUAUGCGCUUCUUUCAUAGGGAUUUAUACCAGAAACCAUAGGCUUUUUUUUUUUAUCUCCGUUUACUGCAUCCUAACCGAGAAUGUACAUGGAUACAUCAGUGUAUAUUGUUACGUUAAAUUUUCCCGAAUCAAUCUUUUUAAACGAGCCUUUUACCUUAUUUGGGACGGCAAAUCCGUUUUUCUGUACAAUUAACGCUUCUCUUAUAUAAACAGCCGAAUCAGUGGUCAAUUUCUUUACGUCACCUACUUUGAUUUUAGAUUAUUUGACAAGCAGGGCUAUAAGGGUUUUGGUACGAGGAGGUAAGUCAAGCUCGAGAAGAAUUCGUCUGGAGACGAUGAAAACAGGAAAAAUUCCUUAUCACCAAUCUGAAGACUAUUCGCUUCAUCGUUUCUAAAAAUUUCAACAUCGCAUUUUGACUUUCUAAAAAUACGGCAUUUCUAAGAUUCCUGUCUCAGCAAUGGAAAAUUCAUUAUUAACAAUUUGAAAGUUUACAUCGACAUAAUGAACUUUUUAAUGAUGAUUUCGUCACAAGUAAGUAUUAUUCUUGAAUCAAUGCCUGUGAGAAUUGUAGUCGAUAUUAGUAUUUACUGUUUUGCUUUAUUGUAUUAAGUAGCGAGCCAGCGUCAAUAAGGAAAUUGGCAAACCUUUCUUGGAAAUAAUGAUGAAAAAAGUUAAUCAUUUGCAAAGGAUCGAUCAAUUCUGGCUUUACAUUACUCGGGAUUCAAUCCUUCAUUAAUUUUAAUUUUAAAAUUUAGAAGAGGUAUUCAGUGACUUUGCAACAUUCUGUUGAGGAACCAUUUUUGAAUGAGGCGACCGAUUGUCGACUGACUGACUGCAUUUGCGUUGUCGAUUGAUUGAUUUUUGAGGCUGCGAUACGUCAGCAGAAGAUUCGGGAUUAGCAGUAACAACCAUGGUUGGAUAAGGCAACUGGUUCCUCAUUUCGGGCAGACCAACGAUGAAGCUACUUGCUUAUGUUGACAAAAGACUUAAUUCUGAAAAUUGUGAUAUGUCAACAUGAGAUUCGACUCGCAUGGUUUCAAAAAAUAUAUCUUUGACAUCAAAAGAUGAAAUAUUAAAUCUUAAACUACGACUAUUUUUAUAUUUUUUAAAACUUAUUUUAUCGUAUUUUCUCAUACAACCUAACAAAUUUGAUUACAAAAUAACUAUGUUUCAUAGAAUACACGAUAGACAGGAGAGAGUUUACAGAUUACAAUCUAAUCAGGUGGUAAUUAUUUUAUACGCAGGCUAUUUUGAAGUCCAGUUGAGUCCAAUUUUCCAGAUGUUGAUCUCAUUCAGCGUUUGGAUACCAGCUUGAUGGUCGCAGAUCGCAAUAGUCCUCCAAUAAUUGCCAAGAAAUCCAAUUGCGGUAUUCGUUCAAUGUCUCGAUGACUGACCAGGGAAUGGAUCAGGAUAUUUGAGUGUGUGUCAUGUGGUAGUCAGGAAAUGGAUCAAGUUAUGUCGGGUGCAUUUAGCAGUGAGAGAAUACUUGCACGGUCGCUGUCAUCAUUCUUCCGAUAUUCACACUCGCUCUAGGGGAAACCGUGCGGAAAUUCAAGAGGAAGAGAUUGCAUCUUCGCAAGAAGUCUCUCACCAGCCGACAAUAGGGGAAAGCUUCCUCCCGCCGUCGAUCCUCAAGUGUUCCGCCGUCUCUUCGAGAUUCCACGGAUAUUUUGCGCAUCCCAUUACUGUCAGCAAAAAUUGUUGCGGCCUGAUUUGUUAGAAAGUCGAAAUUUUGGAACGAGUUCGGAUGCUCAUGGAACGCUGAUCCGUUUUGCUCAUGAUGGCUUCGAUAAUAACUCGAAAUGUAAUAUAAAAUCAAUCAACUUACAUUUGAAUUAUUUAAAUAUUUUAAAACAACAAAUUGAACAACAACUUAAAUUUUACAAGAACAAAAAUGAAGUGUGUUUGUAGCAAACAUUGUAAGUGCCAAGAAACAAUUUUUCGGGAGGAGAAGAAAACUUAUUCUUUAAUAUAAUUCAAAUUCACGAAAAAGAACGGUGUGUCUAUAGAGAAGUCUGUAUGUGUCACCUCUUGAUUGUAAAUUCAAUGUUUCAUUCAUUUAGAUAAACGACAUAGACAAAAGCCAAGAAACCAUUAACUACCGUUUAUUGGGGCUUAUAUUUUUCUCUAUAGAGGCGACUUUGUAAUACGAUAUUCUAGCAUUAUUAAUAACUAUCUAAAAAGGGAAGUUCCACUUAAAUUCUAUAUUACAGUAUUCUCAUUAGUAUGUAGGAUAUUUAUAAAAAAUAAAAAAUUUUCAAUUUUUUCACUUACUAUGUUUUUUGCAAGCACUCUUCAACUAACUUCCAUAUUGCAGAAGGAAGCUCUGAGACACAAUAUAUUUGAAUUCUUUGAACGCUUUGAUUAAUUUAUCUAUCAGUCUCGUGGCUCAAAUGUAUCUCUUCUAAUUAAAAAAAUAACAAAUUGCGAUUUUUGUUACGUCCAAUCAGAAAAAUUGUUAAUUACUAAUGUCAAAUACAAAUUAAUCUUAUUAGUGGUUAUCAUA
Molecule: RNA transcript, 5293 nt
Organism: Bombus pascuorum
Lineage: Eukaryota; Metazoa; Arthropoda; Insecta; Hymenoptera; Apidae
Exons: 4
Source: RefSeq, a predicted model, not a curated record